UGUUGCGUUAUCGCUUACAGAUGGGCCUGCGGCUCAUUAGCUAGUUGGUAUGGUAGCGGCUUACGAAGGCAACGAUGGGUAGCCGGCCUGAGCGGGUGGUCGGACUAGACUGGGACUGAAAUACGGCACAGACUCCUACGGGAGGCAAUAGUAAGGAAUAUUGAGUAAUGGUCGCAAGACUGACGCAACAACGCCGCGUGGAUGAUGAAGCUCUAUGGAGUGUAUCGUCCUGUUAGAAGGUAAGAACAGUACGGAGUCAAAGCUUCGUGCAUGACGGUACCUUCAGAGCAAGCCCCGGCUAACUCCGUGCCAACAGCCGCAGUAAUACUGGGGGGGAAAGCGUUGUCCUGAAUUACUGGGCGUAAAGGGCGCGUAGUUGGAAUUGCAUGUUAGAGGUGACAGCCAGCACCUUAACUGCUGGUCUGCCUUUAAUACUGCAGUUCUUGAGAGCGAAAGAGGGAAGCGGAAUUCUUGGUGUAGCGGUGAAAUGUGUAGAUAUCAAGAAGAACACCGGUAGCGUAGGCGGCUUCCUGGUUCGUAACUUACACUGAGGCGUGAAAGUGUGGGGAGCAAACAGGAUUAGAUACCCUGGUAGUCCACACCGUAAACGAUGGAUACUAGGUGUUGGGUUUCACGACUCAGUGCCGAAGUUAACGCAUUAAGUAUCCCGCCUGGGGAGUACGAUCUCAAGGUUGAAACUCAAAGGAAUUGACGGGGGACCGCACAAGCGGUGGAGCAUGUGGUUUAAUUCGAUGCAACGCGAAGAGCCUUACCGGGGUUUGAAAUGCAGUUGCUCUCCGUUGAAAGACGGAUUUCCUUCGGGACAACUGUACAGGUGCUGCAUGGCUGUCGUCAGCUCGUGCCGUGAGGUGUUGGGUUAAGUCCCGCAACGAGCGCAACCCUUGUCCUGAGUUGCUCUCAGGUCAAGCUGAGAACUCUAAGGAGACUGCCUCGCAUCACGAGGAGGAAGGUGGGGAUGACGUCAAGUCCUCAUGGCCCUUACAUCCCGGGCUACACACGUGCUACAAUGGGCAGUUCAACGGGAAGCGAUAUCGUGAGGUGGAGCAAAUCCCUUAAA
Molecule: ribosomal RNA, 1078 nt
Filed under: uncultured organism
Description: bacterial SSU rRNA
Rfam family: Bacterial small subunit ribosomal RNA
Source: RNAcentral